RNAcentral lists this long non-coding RNA (707 nucleotides) under Homo sapiens (human). RNAcentral's name for it is "HSALNT0133818". The record is from RNAcentral. Lineage: Eukaryota; Metazoa; Chordata; Mammalia; Primates; Hominidae.
AUGCCAAACCACAGUGGGAGUUUAGAGAAGACUGUGAUGAGAGUUGGAGCAUUCUUGGGGAGUCUUUGCUGCAGAGAUGGGACUUUAUGCAUCAGUACAUUCUUAAAGUGUCUACGCUGCCCCGGGAUGCUGAGCCCCUGGACACCACAGGUGGCAUUUCAGCUAUGAGUGAGGGGGGGCAUUUGGAAGGGGAGCCCCGAAGGGGAAGACAAUGGCUCAGAGAGAAUGAAGUCAGCACUUCCCAGCCUCUGUGUGCUGCGGUCCAAGGCUUCGGCCGGGAGCACUGCAGAGCAAAAGUUCUGAGAGCCACGGCUCAGGCUUAACUGGCCAGAGCGAGCUUGGCAGCUGCUCUCGUCCCAGCAGGCUUUGCUCUCUGAGGCAGUCAUUCCCACCACACAAAGGCAGUUCUGUGCCUCCCAAAGGUGCUUGGGGCAGGAAUGAAGAGCGGAACAGCCCCCAUCAAUCCAAUAGGAUUGUCGUUUUACGCUGGCGUGGAGCCUCAGACAUCAAAAGGGCUGGAGAGUGAAGCCACGUGUGAGCCGUGAAGUUGGUGACCCUGAGGCACAGAAAGCUGAGGGAAUUUGUUCGAAGUCACACAGCUGUGGAAAAGCAUUUGGGAGGAAGUGGAACCAAAGCAGAUCCUAUCCAAGGUGAAUGGCAAGCAGCUAUAUGAGGAUGGCCUUGCUCCCAGCCGGGUUAGUUUUCAC